CCUACGGGUGGCAGCAGUCGAGAAUCAUGCACAAUGGGGGAAACCCUGAUGGCGCGACGCCGCGUGGGGGAAUGAAGGUCUUCGGAUUGUAAACCCCUGUCAUGUGGGAGCAAAUUAAAAAGAUAGUACCACAAGAGGAAGAGACGGCUAACUCUGUGUCAGCAGCCGCGGUAAUACAGAGGUCUCAAGCGUUGUUCGGAAUCACUGGGCGGAAAGCGGGCGUAGGCUGUUUCGUAAGUCGUGUGUGAAAGGCGCGGGCUCAACCCGCGGACGGCACAUGAUACUGCGAGACUAGAGUAAUGGAGGGGGAACCGGAAUUCUCGGUGUAGCAGUGAAAUGCGUAGAUAUCGAGAGGAACACUCGUGGCGAAGGCGGGUUCCUGGACAUUAACUGACGCUGAGGCACGAAGGCCAGGGGAGCGAAAGGGAUUAGAUACCCGUGUAGUC
Molecule: ribosomal RNA, 446 nt
Filed under: uncultured bacterium
Lineage: Bacteria
Description: partial 16S ribosomal RNA
Rfam family: Bacterial small subunit ribosomal RNA
Source: RNAcentral